AUAUUAAAGUAGUAUUAGUUAUAUUCUUGAAACUUAAAGAAUUUGGCGGUAUUUUAAUCUAUUUAGAGGAACCUGUCCUGUAAUCGAUAUUCCUCGUUAAAUUUUACUGAAUUAUUUGUAUAUCGUUGUCGAAAAAAUAAAUUUUUAAAUAUUAUUAAUAUAAUAGAUGUCAAAUCAAGGUGCAGUUUAUAAUUCAGAAGAGAUGGGUUACAAUAAAAUUAUUUAGGAAUUUAAUGAAGAUGGAUUUAAAUGUAAAUUUUUUUUAAAAAAAAUAAUUGAUUAAAGCUCUAAAAUAUGU
RNAcentral lists this ribosomal RNA (298 nucleotides) under Paractenopsyllus raxworthyi. RNAcentral's name for it is "partial 12S ribosomal RNA". The record is from RNAcentral. Lineage: Eukaryota; Metazoa; Arthropoda; Insecta; Siphonaptera; Leptopsyllidae.